RNAcentral lists this ribosomal RNA (342 nucleotides) under Triticum aestivum (bread wheat). RNAcentral describes it as "partial small subunit ribosomal RNA". Lineage: Eukaryota; Viridiplantae; Streptophyta; Magnoliopsida; Poales; Poaceae. The record is from RNAcentral.
AUGAUAUCCAAAGGUUUAGGCUGGGAGAAUCAUGAGGUUGAGUAUGCCCCAAUGCCUCUUGGAUAUAUUGAACGGGGUAUUAAUGUCUUGAAGAAAUAUCAUACCCACCUGAAGGGGAGUGAAGAAGGUGUGGAUUACGUCUAUGGAGCCAUUUAUUGCUCUUUAGGCGACUAUUCUGUCUCCCCUCCUCUUUUAAGGUCUUUAUUGGAGAAAUGGGACCCCAACACCAACACGUUUUUGUUCUCGUGUGACGAGCGUACAGUCACACUUCUUGAUAUGCAUCAGAUCGCGGGGUUGCCCCUUGAUGGUGAACCUUAUGAAGAAUAUGUUCCCCCUAGCUGA